Molecule: long non-coding RNA, 521 nt
Filed under: Homo sapiens (human)
Lineage: Eukaryota; Metazoa; Chordata; Mammalia; Primates; Hominidae
Description: HSALNT0115856
Source: RNAcentral
UCACCUACCUUCUCUGCUCACCGCUGUGUGCUAGCAAUCGGAGGACCCUUGGCACACGGAGCGACAGGGGCCUCCCCCACAGACACCUCAUUUUGGGAAAGAAGAUUUGAUGAAUCCAGGGAACCCUCUCUCCAACACCCUUGGCCUCUCUGCAACUUUCUAACAUCAGGCAGAGUCAGAGGCACCAUCCCCAGGAGCUACAAAUCUUCAGCAUUCUCCACUCUGUGAAGUCAGAGGAAUGGCGGGACCAUAGCUCUGAGCUCAUUGGCAAAUACAACUAAUUUCAAUUUCUGGAAUGGAAGCAGUCAGAUAUUCUUCUGACUGCACGCGUAUGUGGGAGUGCCAUGUUGAAGAGUGGAAAAUAUGGAAGAUCAGUCCCUACAAACUUAAUAGGAGAAUGACAUUCAGAUUUCCCGAGUAUUUUGCAUGUCCAACUGAAAACUGAAGUAGGUUUAUGAGAGAAUGCACGCCUACCUGGAUGGGUCUGGGGAGUGUGUCACUGUCACCGCAGAUAAUUGACA